Molecule: long non-coding RNA, 1132 nt
Organism: Hyaena hyaena (striped hyena)
Lineage: Eukaryota; Metazoa; Chordata; Mammalia; Carnivora; Hyaenidae
Exons: 3
Source: RefSeq, a predicted model, not a curated record
GGAGGUCACGGUUCAAUCCCCUACAAUCCCCUAGAGCCUCUAGAAGGAAUGUAGCUGUGCCAGCAUCUGGUUAAAAUCCAGUGAUCAGUCACCUAGUAACACCCAUUUUGGUCUUCUGCCUUCCAAUACUGUAAGUUAAUAAAUUUGUGUUAUGUUAAGCCAGUUUGUGGUAAUUUGUAACAAUAGGAAGUAUUAGCAUUCAUCUUAAAUUUUAUUUCCUCCAGCCAGUGGUCUUUUAUUGAUAUUGAGUAAGAUACACUUCAGUAAUCAGUAGUAGGAGAGACUUGAAUAUAUUCUCUGGACAAAUGAAAGUCUGGUUUGGAGCUUGAGAGCAAAGUAACAGUUAUGAAACGGAUUCUUUUUUAAGUAGGUUUCACACCCAGCCCGGAGUACAGCACAGAUCUGUGAUCAAGACUUGAGCUGAGAUCAACAGCUGGAAGCUUAACUGACUUAACUACCCAGGUGCCAGUGAAAUGGAUUGAUUAAGGAAUAAUAAUGAUCCCGACACUUGCAAUAAGAAUUGCAACAAGGCCUGGACCAAAAUGUCACAUGAGUGUGAGGAGUGUUAGAGAUACCAGGUAAGAAAGCAGUUGGUAUUCCUUUUGUCACUGAGUUGUUGACAGUCACCAAACAAGAGAGCCGAAACGACUUCAUCAAAUAGGAGAAGCCAAAGAGUCACUCUAAAGAUACUCUUAGAAGAGCUGUGAAGAGAGUAUGGAGAGUUCCUGUGUGACUUUCUUCUGGUCCCUUCUAAUGUUCGACAUCACACCUAAACAUUGGUUCAGUACCGUAACCUCAACCACAGACCUUCUUCAGACCUCCCAGACUCUCCACUACUGUUGUCUUCUUGCCUCAGCAUCCAUGUAGCAUUCAGCUGUCUCCUCCAAUCUGUCACAGUUUGUCAGGGUCUCUUGUUACACACGACCUUGGUCAGUUUGGAAAGCACUAGUCAGGUAUAUUGUGAUUGUCCUUCAAUUCGGAUCUGCCUUAUAGCUUUCAAGUAUUAGACCGAGUUUAUGGAUUUGGGGAAUAUCAGAGAGGUCAUGAUCUCAUCAUAUUGCACUAUAACAGAGAAUACAUGAUAUCAACCCAUUUUACUACUAAUAAUCAUUGGAGUCAUUAACAUUGCUGA